UUAUAUUUUAUGAUGACAGAUGAAUUAAACGCUGGAUUAUGUAUGUGGACAAUCAUAUAGAGAAUAUUUCAAAUGAUAGAUUUAAUUGAAUUAUGUAUUGUAUGUUAGAUUUGAUGGUUCAUGUCACUUUCCUACUACGAUAUGCUAACUCAACUUGUAUAUUAUAUGUAUUAAGUACAUGUCUCUAUUUAAUAGAGAUGUCCAAGUUUUAUUGAGUGUGAAUUAUAUUUUAUAAAUUAACACCUCAAAUGAUAAGAAGACGAAGAAGAAUAUUACAUAAAUGUGCAUGUAUUUAGGUAUUAGAUAUAUCUUAAAUUUAUCUUUCCUUAAUGAAUACUUAAAGUGUUAAAAAAAUAUUAGGGGUUGGUUUGCCGUAAUAUAUUUAAUACGUCUGUCAAAAUAUAUAAGUUGAUGAUUAUAUUUAUUUAUUUCAUACUUAUAUCCAUGUGUUUGAUGUACAGUAAAUGAAUUAAAUAGAGAAAUUUUUUUUCUUAUAUUAAUCUGUAUAUGACUUGAUUGUGAGAUUUAUGCAUAAUUGUGUUUGAUAGUUUAACCUUCUCGUUAUUUGAAAUGUUGUAUAUGUUAUAUGAAAUUGAUCUCCCAACAUAAGUUAUUGCAAGAUGUGAAAUGUGUUGAUGGAUAAUUGAAUGUUGAAUGGUACUAUUCCAUAUUGGUGUGAACAUGGUUGGUUGAUGUUGGAAGACUAAUACUACUAUUCCACCUAUAAUUGCGUCGCAACAUAAUUGUCCCAUAUCCCCAUUGUACACCCCGU
RNAcentral lists this long non-coding RNA (772 nucleotides) under Vigna radiata. RNAcentral's name for it is "long non-coding RNA (VRAD_LNC011434)". The record is from RNAcentral. Lineage: Eukaryota; Viridiplantae; Streptophyta; Magnoliopsida; Fabales; Fabaceae.